GACGAACGCUGGCGGCGUGCUUAACACAUGCAAGUCGAACGAGUGGCGAACGGGUGAGUAAUACGUGAGUAACCUGCCCUCUUUUUGGGAUAAGCCUUGGAAACGGGGUCUAAUACCGAAUAAAGGGGGAUGGGCUCGCGGCCUAUCAGCUUGUUGGUGGGGUGAUGGCCUACCAAGGCGGUGACGGGUAGCCGGCCUGAGAGGGUGACCGGCAACAUUGGGACUGAGAUACGGCCCAGACUCCUACGGGAGGCAGCAGUGGGGAAUAUUGGACAAUGGGCGAAAGCCUGAUCCAGCCAUACCGCGUGUGUGAAGAAGGUCUUCGGAUUGUAAAGCUCUGUUAAUCGGGACGCGGUACCGGAAUAGAAAGCCACGGCUAACUACGUGCCAGCCGCCGCGGUAAUUC
This 406-nucleotide ribosomal RNA is filed under the name uncultured bacterium. RNAcentral describes it as "partial 16S ribosomal RNA". It matches the Rfam family "Bacterial small subunit ribosomal RNA", at positions 28 to 526 of the family's 1533-position model. The record is from RNAcentral.